Molecule: non-coding RNA, 115 nt
Organism: Ilex paraguariensis (yerba mate)
Lineage: Eukaryota; Viridiplantae; Streptophyta; Magnoliopsida; Aquifoliales; Aquifoliaceae
Source: the annotation of a GenBank genome assembly
GCGGUCAUACUAACACUAAUACACCGAAUCCUGUCAUAACUCUACAGUUAAGUGUGCUUGGGUGAGAGUAGUACUACAAUGGAUGACCCCCCUGGGAAGUUCUCGUGUUUCACCC